This 372-nucleotide ribosomal RNA is filed under the name Triticum aestivum (bread wheat). RNAcentral describes it as "partial small subunit ribosomal RNA". The record is from RNAcentral. Lineage: Eukaryota; Viridiplantae; Streptophyta; Magnoliopsida; Poales; Poaceae.
AUGAAUGAAUUUGACUACAUAAUACGGGAAGCUAGGGAAAUCAUUGAUUUCUAUGGCAUGAAUCGUGAAAAUCCCGUGAUUGAUGAAAUUCUUUAUGAUAGUGAUUAUGCGUUGAGACAUUUUCUUGGAGAUAACCAAAUAAUUCAUGAAAAUCUUAAAAAGCAAGUUCCCGUUUUAUAUAUCAUCCAACAAGUUUUCAAUGAUGUUAAUCAACACUAUUCUUGGACUGCUGCUGGAAAUCAAAAGGGUUAUGAUAAAAAGAAACUUGAUAGUGCUAAGGUUUCCAUGGACAAUGUGUUGUAUGUUUUAUUUGCAAAAACCCCUGACACAAAUACCUCCAAGGAAAACAAGGCUAAAGAUGACAAAACUUAG